AGUGGUUCGGUCUUCCUUUGCUACCGCUUUACCAGAUUGAGCUGUUUUUGAGCUAGCAACAUCUUCAGUAAUAACGGUAGUCGAAGGUUCACCAGGAUGAGAGACGCCUUGCUGUGAUUGCCCAUUUUCAUCGAUCAUCUCCAGUUCAUCGACUUCCUCCUCCAUAACAGCACCGUCCAUUCCAAAGGCCUCAUCCUCUUCAUAGUCAGACAUUUUGUAUGCAAUUGCCAAAGGAGAAAAGGGGGACAAGGGCGAAUCUAAAAAAUUGGAAGUUGACAGAGGAAAUUCUCAUACACCUAGUCAGCGUUCGAAUUGUGAAUCCGUGUUAAAUCUCAUUACUUUACACUACAAUGCACUAUUUACAUCUUAUAUGUUUAAUUCAUAGAAAGAUCGAACGCACGCUCCACUGAAACAUUUCAGAGA
Molecule: non-coding RNA, 423 nt
Organism: Schizosaccharomyces pombe (fission yeast)
Lineage: Eukaryota; Fungi; Ascomycota; Schizosaccharomycetes; Schizosaccharomycetales; Schizosaccharomycetaceae
Source: the annotation of a GenBank genome assembly